Molecule: ribosomal RNA, 429 nt
Filed under: Pseudomonadota bacterium
Lineage: Bacteria; Pseudomonadati; Pseudomonadota
Description: Proteobacteria bacterium partial 16S ribosomal RNA
Rfam family: Bacterial small subunit ribosomal RNA
Source: RNAcentral
UGGGGAAUAUUGGACAAUGGGCGAAAGCCUGAGCCAGCCAGGGCGCGUGGGGGAAGAAGGUCGUCGGAUUGGAAAGCACUGUAAGUUGGGAGGAAGGGCAGUAAGCGAAUACAGUGCUGUGUUGACGUUACCGACAGAAUAAGCAGCGGCGAACACGGUGCCAGCAGCCGCGGUAAUACAGAGGGUGCAAGCGUUAAUCGGAAUUACUGGGCGUAAAGCGCGCGUAGGUGGUUCGUUAAGUUGAAUGUGAAAGCCCCGGGCUCACCCUGUGAACUGCAUCCAACACUGGCGAGCUAGAGUAGGGCAGAGAGUGGUGGAAUUUCCUGUGUCGCGGUGACAUGCGUAGAUAUAGGAAGGAACACCAGUGGCGAAGGCGACCACCUGGGCUCCUACUGACACUGAGGUGCGCACGCGUGGGGCGCACACACG